Molecule: transfer RNA, 60 nt
Filed under: Pomphorhynchus sp. TP-2012
Lineage: Eukaryota; Metazoa; Acanthocephala; Palaeacanthocephala; Echinorhynchida; Pomphorhynchidae
Description: tRNA-Leu
Source: RNAcentral
AAUUGGAACCUGUGUGGCAGAAAUUGCGCUUAAUUUAGGUUUAAGUUAUUGUUCAGGUUG